UAAGAAUAUUCCGCAAUGGACGGAAGUCUGACGGAGCGACGCCGCGUGGAUGAAGAAGGCCGAAAGGUUGUAAAGUUCUUUUGCUAGGGGAGAAUAAGUGUGGGAGGGAAUGCCUGCACGAUGACAAGGACUAGCGAAUAAGUCCCGGCCAACUACGUGCCAGCAGCCGCGGUAACACGUAGGGGGCGAGCGUUGUUCGGAAUUACUGGGCGUAAAGGGCAUGUAGGCGGCUUGGUAAGCCUGGCGUGAAAGUCUGCAGCUUAACUGUAGGGAUGCGUUGGGAACUGCUUAGCUUGAGUUGCGGAGAGGGAGCUGGAAUUCCUGGUGUAGGGGUGAAAUCUGUAGAUAUCAGGAAGAACACCGAUGGCGAAGGCAAGCUUCUGGCCGACAACUGACGCUGAGGUGCGAAAGUGUGGGGAUCAAAC
Molecule: ribosomal RNA, 425 nt
Filed under: uncultured bacterium
Lineage: Bacteria
Description: bacterial SSU rRNA
Rfam family: Bacterial small subunit ribosomal RNA
Source: RNAcentral